AGGCCGCAGUGAAAAGGAUCUAGCGACUGUUUAUCAAAAACACAGGUCUGUGCGAAGGCGUAAGCCGCGGUAUACAGACUGACGCCUGCCCGGUGCUGGUAAGUUAAGGAAGAGGGUUAGGGGAAAUCCGGAAGCUCGCAACCGAAGCUCCAGUAAACGGCGGCCGUAACUAUGACGGUCCUAAGGUAGCGAAGUUCCUUGUCGGGUAAGUUCCGACCUGCAUGAAUGGCGUAACGACUGGACACUGUCUCCACGAGCGACUCGGUGAAAUUGUAGUUGUCGUGAAGAUGCGACAUACCCGCAGCUAGACGGAAAGACCCCGUGAACCUUAACUGCAGCUUGGUAUUGGGUUUAGACCCAACAUGCGUAGUGUAGGUGGGAGGCAUUGAACCGGGCGUUUCGGCGCCCGGGGAGCCGUCGAUGAAACACCACCCUUGUUGUGUUUGAAUUCUAACCCCGUCUCGUGAACGAAGGGACAGUGCUAAGUGGGCAGUUUGAUUGGGGCGAUCUCCUCCCAAAAGGUAACGGAGGAGUGCAAAGGUACCCUCAGCCCGGUUGGCAAUCGGGCAUCGAGCGUAAAGGUAGAAGGGUGCUUGACUGCGAGCCCGAUGGGGCGAGCAGGGACGAAAGUCGGCCUUAGUGAUCCGGUGGUCCCGGGAUGGAAGGGCCAUCGCUCAACAGAUAAAAGGUACUCCGGGGAUAACAGGCUUAUCUCCUCUGAGCGUCCAUAG
This 731-nucleotide non-coding RNA is filed under the name Beta vulgaris subsp. vulgaris (sugar beet). Its description in RNAcentral is "Bacterial large subunit ribosomal RNA". It matches the Rfam family "Bacterial large subunit ribosomal RNA", at positions 1774 to 2505 of the family's 2925-position model. Lineage: Eukaryota; Viridiplantae; Streptophyta; Magnoliopsida; Caryophyllales; Amaranthaceae. The record is from Rfam by way of RNAcentral.